Molecule: long non-coding RNA, 379 nt
Organism: Humulus lupulus (European hop)
Lineage: Eukaryota; Viridiplantae; Streptophyta; Magnoliopsida; Rosales; Cannabaceae
Exons: 4
Source: RefSeq, a predicted model, not a curated record
CGCACUCAUACCUCUCGGCUUCUCCUCAUCAGUCCCCAAAUACUUUAAGGUUCAAGAAAUAUGGUUUUGGUGCUUUAAUUUUAGGGGAGCUCUCUAUCAAAGUUAAAGUGGAACAACAGAGAAGUCAAGCUCUGGAAGCUCAUGUUGCUGCUUUUGCACAAUUUAAAGUUCCAGGGAAUGAGAAUCCUUCUACUCUCAUUUCCUUUGCAACAAAGACUUUUAAUGUUGGCCAAAUUACAUUAAAGUUGCAUGUUAUAGAGCUUGGUGCCCAACCAGGAAAACCUUCUUUUACAAAGAAACAAGCAGAUCUUUUCUUUCCUCCAGAUUUUGUAGAUGAUUUCCCGUUGCAAUGAAAGUAGUGAGAUUCUUAUAUUUGUGG